UAUGAAUUGUGUUUUAUACUUUAUAAAUCUAUCUUCAUGCCUGCAGUGGCUCACACCUGUAAUCCAAGUAUUUUGGGAGGCCGGGGCGGGAGUACUGCUUGAACCCAGGAGUCCAAGAUCAGCCUGUGCAACACGGCAAAACUCCACCUCUACAAAAAAUACAAAAAUUAGCUGGGUGUGGUGGCAGGUGCCUGUAAUCCCAACUACUUGGGAGGCUGAGGCAGGAGAAUCGCUGGAGCCUGGGAAGUCAAGCCUGCAGCGAACCAUGAUCCUAACACUGCAUUCUAGCCUGGGCAACAGAGUGAGACUCUGUCUCAAAAAAAAUCUUCAUAUAAAAAUAUUUAUUUCCCCCCAAGUAUUUAAAAAGUGAUGUUCCUAGAAGAUGUGUCAUGUUUAUCCUGUGAACUUGCACGUCCCAUAUAGUUGUGCCCUCACAAGAAUGUAUACUCCAAUUAGAAGAGUAUAGGCCUUUGGAACAAAAUCCAAAAUCCUUCCAGGUUUUCAAAAGUCUCUAUCACCUGGCCCCAAAUUACCUCUUCAGCCAUUUUUUCCCACAACACAAACCUUCUGCUCUCAUCAAAACGAUCUACUUUUAAACAUCUCCUCUAUGCCUUCCUAAUGUAUUCCAUUUGUCUAGAAUGUCUCCCCACACAUUUCUGAUUGGCUAGAUUGUGCCGUAUUUUAAGGUGCAGAUAUCUCAAUUCUUCCACAAAUAUUCUAGUAAAUGGCAGCUUGUUCAUCUGAAACCACACAGAAUUACUGUCCAUACACCUCAAAUGGCACUUAGUGAGAAAAUACACAGAAUAUGGCAAAUCAUAAUAAUAAAAAUUCUGAAAAAUAGUACUAAAAGCUCCAAAAGCAUCAAAGAUAGUCAGUUUACCUGAUUUUAGUGAAUUACUGAAAAAUUUCUAUAUCAAGAGUUUAUUUUGAACCAGUAUGAAUUUUACUGAAACCAAGUACACACAUGUCUCAUUAUGAGGUAAUCUAGUGUAGUAUAAUCUAUUUCCAUACACUCUGUCAUCCUGGAAUCAGCAUAUUUUCAUGCUUGUAUCUUUACUUCCUAAUAGCAUAACUCAUGGAAGUCAACUAACUCAUUCAUUAAUUUUAGAAAUGGUAUUCAUUAAACAACACUUAUUGAGCAUCUACUAUUUGUCUCCUUUAAAAAACAUAUUCCAAAUUUGUACUCAUAUAUACUCUACCUUCUGCUGUAGGAUAAUCAAAUUUCCUUGUGAUUUUUUUCCCCAUCACUAACAGCCAUAAACUCUGCACUUAUGUAUGUACUACUGAGUGAUUAUCAAACACAGCAGUUUUAAAAAUGAAAAGAAAGUGACCCAACAAUUGGCCCUUUUAUCAAAGUCCAAAGUAUUAUCAUGGCAAAUCAACUAGGGUAAAAUUACUUAACUGGUGCACAGUUCAAGGUCAUGAAAGUAGCACUAACAAUCCUCUAUUAUAACCCUUAAUAAAAUGAGGUUUUAAUGACAUUUUAGGAAAUAUAAAAUAAACUUAAGAAUUCUAUCUAAAAUACAAAGGCUGUUUUUCCUAAAUUCAUGUUUAGUCCUAAGAACAGUCAUACAUCUAAUAAAAUGACUGGGUAUAUAAUUUGAAAGAGCAAUAAAUUACUACCUUGAAGAUGUAAGGUUGUAGCUAUUUAUCUUAAAAUACACAGUCAAACCUCAGUUUCCACACCCAAUAGAUGGGAAUAAUAAUCCUGUCAAAUCUAUUAAUACUUCAUGGGAUUGUAAUCAUCAAGCCAGAUAAUGUAUUUGAAUAGCUUUAUGAACUAUAAAGUUCUAAACAAAUGUAUAUACUUUUUAAAAAC
Molecule: long non-coding RNA, 1819 nt
Filed under: Homo sapiens (human)
Lineage: Eukaryota; Metazoa; Chordata; Mammalia; Primates; Hominidae
Description: HSALNT0292769
Source: RNAcentral